Molecule: long non-coding RNA, 449 nt
Filed under: Fukomys damarensis (Damara mole-rat)
Lineage: Eukaryota; Metazoa; Chordata; Mammalia; Rodentia; Bathyergidae
Description: lncRNA (ENSFDAG00000030567.1)
Source: RNAcentral
AGAAAAUCUGAAUAAAUUGCCCAAGUCAUCUCUCUCACGGCAGCCCGGCCAGCGUGUAGACCGGCUUGACUCCCAACACUCUCAUGCGUGUUCGUGCGCCCUCUGCUGGCGGACAGCGCUGGGGAGACGAGGAUCUUCCCGCCACUUCCUGCCAUGGCUCUGUCCAGCUCUGCGUCCCUGCCAGAGGACCUGCCCUUCCCUCAUGACUCCAACAGCAGCCCUUGAAACCGUCCAGCGAUAACUGAAGCAGGGCCCUUUGGUCUCCAGACCCCUGACCCUAAGAGGAGAAAAGAGAAAGGACGACUCUUAUUUUACUCCAGUCCCUGCCAAAGCUGAUGCAAGGCCUUUCGGCCUUUCCUGCUUGGGUGAAAAACAGAAACAGGCAAUGGGUGUGUCCACUGGCCUGUGUGAACAGUCUCAUAAAAAAGGUGUUAUUGAUUUACCAAGGG